This 613-nucleotide ribosomal RNA is filed under the name uncultured bacterium. Its description in RNAcentral is "bacterial SSU rRNA". It matches the Rfam family "Bacterial small subunit ribosomal RNA", at positions 338 to 943 of the family's 1533-position model. The record is from RNAcentral.
CCUACGGGAGGCAGCAGUAGGGAAUCUUCCGCAAUGGACGAAAGUCUGACGGAGCAACGCCGCGUGAACGAUGAAGGCCUUCGGGUCGUAAAGUUCUGUUGUUAGGGAAGAACAAGUGCUAGUUAAAUAAGCUGGCACCUUGACGGUACCUAACCAGAAAGCCACGGCUAACUACGUGCCAGCAGCCGCGGUAAUACGUAGGUGGCAAGCGUUGUCCGGAAUUAUUGGGCGUAAAGCGCGCGCAGGCGGUUUCUUAAGUCUGAUGUGAAAGCCCCCGGCUCAACCGGGGAGGGUCAUUGGAAACUGGGAAACUUGAGUGCAGAAGAGGAAAGUGGAAUUCCAAGUGUAGCGGUGAAAUGCGUAGAGAUUUGGAGGAACACCAGUGGCGAAGGCGACUUUCUGGUCUGUAACUGACGCUGAGGCGCGAAAGCGUGGGGAGCAAACAGGAUUAGAUACCCUGGUAGUCCACGCUGUAAACGAUGAGUGCUAAGUGUUAGAGGGUUUCCGCCCUUUAGUGCUGAAGUUAACGCAUUAAGCACUCCGCCUGGGGAUACGGUCGCAAGACUGAAACUUAAAGNAUGCGNGNGAGNGNGACGAGACGACGAGAGGAGAG